This is a long non-coding RNA of Limulus polyphemus (Atlantic horseshoe crab), 1118 nucleotides long. RefSeq lists it as uncharacterized. The record is from RefSeq and is a predicted model, not a curated record. The transcript has 3 exons. NCBI's taxonomy places the organism in Eukaryota, Metazoa, Arthropoda, Merostomata, Xiphosura, Limulidae.
AAUAUGUUUAGAGAAAUUUUACGCUAUAAAUGCAAUUAAUUGUCAAGAUUUAUAAGAGGUUUUGGCGGCAAUUUAACCUUUGAACAUGACUAAAACGUGAUAUUAUGGCUAAAAUAAAAACACGAGUUCAAUAUAAAAUGCAAUUUUAAUUUGAUGAUUUCGGGAGUUUGUUUUUUACUAUUUUCAUUUUUUUUCUUUCAGAUUAUUGUUAAUCGGGCAAAAUUUAGUGAUCAAACACCGUUGUUAAAUCAAUUAAAAUGACUAUAAUAAGUGUUCUACUUAAAAUAUACUGAUAAACAGUUCGAAAUGAAUCACUGGUAUAAGUAUGACUUUUUAUUGUUUUUGCUAUUAUUUAAUAAUUGUGAUAAUUUUUAUUGGCAAUAUCAAAGCCCUCUUCAGGACGAUAACAAACUGUCGCCAUAGGAGCAGAAAGUCGUCUGGCAGGUACAUCUUAGUAGGUAGGUGUAAGACGGAUGGCGACACUUUCCAUCAGAAUCCGGAGAAAACGUCAAAUCGACAUUCAGAUUCGUUAAAAUAGGAUCAGAUCCAGAAGGACACGUGGAUGUGGAAGACAUUGAUUAGAGACAGAUAGAAAGUUUGAAAUAUUAUUGAGCUUGUUUUCAACACGUUCUACAAGACGAGGGACAGAUUCAACUUUCAUCGAGAAACCACCAUGAUCACUGUUACCAUCGUUCUAAUACUGCUCGCUGUGGCCAGUGGAGGUAAGGUUAACUUUAGCUGCUCUAAAGCAUAAGAAACCUCACAGAAUGAUGAGUAAAUAAGUAACGUUAAUUUAAAUAUAGUGUUUACAGAAAUGUAAUCUUUUAAAUAGCAAGUUUCGUGGAAAAUAAACAACGAUCCUUCUACGUCACAAUGAUAGAUUCUCUAACAGAAAGAGACGACUAUUGGAUGAAAACGCGAGUUAUAAUUUAUCUCUACAUGCUUAACGAUAGAGUACAAAAUGAAGGCAACAUUUCUGAAGGUUUCCACUUUUUAAAUAAUCCAUACCAUCGUUUAUAACAUAGAAAAAACAGGGAUAAAGCUCACAAUAGUUUAUUGGAGACCAUCUCAAAGUUUAUCAAACAAAAGGUCUGAGAAGUGUUUAUGUAAUCCUGCUA